This is a long non-coding RNA of Columba livia (rock pigeon), 812 nucleotides long. RefSeq lists it as uncharacterized. NCBI's taxonomy places the organism in Eukaryota, Metazoa, Chordata, Aves, Columbiformes, Columbidae. The record is from RefSeq and is a predicted model, not a curated record. The transcript is spliced from 3 exons.
CUACACCCAAAAGCAAUAUACCUCUGCUUUGCUCUUCUCAGCAGCGGCUUGCAGAGAAGGAGAGGAUGCCAAAGGCUGAGCAGCAUCAGAAGAGGAGAUCUGUGCAAAACAGGAAAGAUAUGAAAAAGAAGAGAAUUUCAGCUUGAUAGGUGUCUCACAGGUGAACAGCACAUAACAGCUACUCAUCACGCAGAAGCAGGUUUCCUCUCCCAGUUCCAUUGCUUAUUCUGAACUGGAGCUCCUGUUUUUUGUUUCACCCCCAGCACGUGUGAAAGUACAGCUGUGAAAAGAAGGGACAAGCACAGCCUGAACUCUGAUAAACUUCUUACCUCCAUCUCCUAACCUGACCCUGAGCAGCACAGUUUGCCUACCUGGGGCUACCACUACUGCUACAUUCCAGAAGGUUUUUCUCAAGGCUAAAGCCUAAGAUUGUGGUUAAGAAUUAGGCCUGAUACCAGAAUCUUUCCGAGUACCAAACAACACAAAACCACAGAUAACCAACCAAAAACAUGCCACUGUUCCAGGGCAUCAGUCUCUCAGAUCUUUCUAGAAACAAGUCACAAACCUGCACUGAGUCUGAGCAGGAACACAAGAGAGUAACUAUUUACUGAUAACCCACUUUUAACAGUUGAGUAAACUGUGCUACUCAUUUAGUCCUGAGCACCGAUAUAGAACCAGCAUUUCACAUUUUCUCAACAAAAUGGAUCAGAAAUCUCCGAGAUCUAUGCUUCAAUAGACUUCAAUUAUUCUUUUAAGUCAGGCUGCUUUCAAUCAGCAUUAGAUUUUUCUAAUGUAUAUUUGAUUUCUACUUA